GGCCAUUGUCUGGGUGCUUAAUUUGACU
This 28-nucleotide non-coding RNA is filed under the name Homo sapiens (human). Lineage: Eukaryota; Metazoa; Chordata; Mammalia; Primates; Hominidae. The record is from RNAcentral.